RNAcentral lists this ribosomal RNA (705 nucleotides) under Tulasnella sp. 2 MV-2011. Its description in RNAcentral is "eukaryotic LSU rRNA". The stretch from base 295 to 453 matches the Rfam family "5.8S ribosomal RNA". The record is from RNAcentral. Lineage: Eukaryota; Fungi; Basidiomycota; Agaricomycetes; Cantharellales; Tulasnellaceae.
UGCUGGAUGCGGCCUAUGCUGCUCAGUGCGCGUUGGGGAGGCUGUCGUGUCAAAAGCGACGGUUUCUAAUCCCUUCUGUGGCCCAUGGUCACGUUAAUUGGCGCGAGGGCUUAUGCCCCGCCCCGUGCUUCACAUGUUCGAGUCGGGUGUGAAGCGCGUGUCCCUACCGAACAGCAAUUAAAUAUAUGGGACUUCAUUGAUCGCUGGGAUGCCUUGUAUUGCACGAUGGCGUAAGACCCGCGAGGCCACGGCCAUACUAUCAAUAUAACUAUCAUGAAACAUACAGUUAAUUACAACUGGUAGCGUUGGAUCCCUCGGCAUGGCUAUCGAUGAAGAACGCGGCCAGCUGCGAAAUGUGAUGUGAAUUGCAACUCAAAGCGGUUAUCGUGAAUCAUUGACUAUUUGAACGCAUUGCACCGCCCUUUUGGGAGUGGUACACCCGAUUGAGAGUCAUAAUGACCUUCAGGCUGGGAUACUUGGUCAUUCGAUUGGCGGGUAUAUGGACGCUGCACCCCAUCUCUCAUCAGGUGGCAGAGGCGUCUGUGUAUGAGUGUCUUGGCUCUGGCUUCGAGGCUGCACGGUAUUCGUAUCGCGUGCCUUCAGAUGCAUGAGUGAUGACCAUGAGAGCGAGUCGGACUCUGUGUAAUAAUCAUUUCACGCAGAGGAGUGCUUUGGCACACUUGUUCCUUGUGGCAUGGCUUCAAA